CAUCAUCGUCCCUUGGAUCUGCCGAAUCCAUUCGCGGUCCCCAGCAGAGGGAACAGGCGGUGAUG
Molecule: non-coding RNA, 65 nt
Organism: Brugia malayi
Lineage: Eukaryota; Metazoa; Nematoda; Chromadorea; Rhabditida; Onchocercidae
Source: Rfam